Non-coding RNA from Parelaphostrongylus tenuis, 73 nucleotides. Lineage: Eukaryota; Metazoa; Nematoda; Chromadorea; Rhabditida; Metastrongylidae. The record is from the annotation of a GenBank genome assembly.
GCGUCGGUAGUGCAAUGGUUCAGCACGCACUUCCUGAUAGAGUGAAAUAUAGGUUCGAAUCCCAAUUGACGCA